GGGAUUUGUAGUAGUAUGGUGGAGGUGGAGAGUGGACUGGUGGUGGUGGGGAUUUGUAGUAGUAUGGUGGGGGUGGAGAGUGGACUGGUGGUGGUGGGGACUUGUAAUAGUAUGGUGGAGGUGGUGAGGGAGAAGGUGGUGGUGGAGACUUGUAGUAGUAUGGUGGUGGGGACUUGUAAUAGUAUGGUGGAGGAGAUGGCGAUGGUGGUGGAGGAGAUUUGUAGAUGUAUGGGGGCUCCUCUACGUGUUUUGGUGGUGGUGGGGACUUGUAAUAGUAUGGUGGAGGUGGUGAGGGAGAAGGUGGUGGUGGAGACUUGUAGUAGUAUGGUGGUGGUGGGGAAUGAACUGGUGGUGGUGGGGACUUGUAAUAGUAUGGUGGUGGAGGAGAUGGCGAUGGUGGUGGAGGAGAUUUGUAGAUGUAUGGGGGCUUCUCUACGUGUUUUGGUGGUGGUGGAGACUUGUAAUAGUAUGGUGGAGGUGGUGAGGGAGAAGGUGGUGGUGGAGACUUGUAGUAGUAUGGUGGGGGUGGGGAGUGGACUGGUGGUGGUGGAGACUUGUAGUAGUAUGGUG
RNAcentral lists this long non-coding RNA (570 nucleotides) under Gossypium barbadense (sea-island cotton). Its description in RNAcentral is "long non-coding RNA (GBAR_LNC023459)". Lineage: Eukaryota; Viridiplantae; Streptophyta; Magnoliopsida; Malvales; Malvaceae. The record is from RNAcentral.